Molecule: ribosomal RNA, 500 nt
Filed under: uncultured bacterium
Lineage: Bacteria
Description: partial 16S ribosomal RNA
Rfam family: Bacterial small subunit ribosomal RNA
Source: RNAcentral
AUUGAACGCUGGCGGAAUGCUUUACACAUGCAAGUCGAACGGCAGCACGGACUUCGGUCUGGUGGCGAGUGGCGAACGGGUGAGUAAUGUAUCGGAACGUGCCCAGUCGUGGGGGAUAACGUAGUGAAAAUUACGCUAACUCCGCAUACGAUCUAUGGAUGAAAGCGGGGGAUCGCAAGACCUCGCGCGAUUGGAGCGGCCGAUAUCAGAUUAGGUAGUUGGUGGGGUAAAGGACCACCGAGCCAACGAUCUGUAGCUGGUCUGAGAGGACAACCAGCCACACUGGAACGGAGACACGGUCCAGACUCCUACGGGAGGCAGCAGUGGGGAAUUUUGGACAAUGGGCGAAAGCCUGAUCCAGCCAUUCCGCGUGCAGGAUGAAGGCCUUCGGGUUGUAAACUGCUUUUGUACAGAACGAAAAGGUUUCUACUAAUACUAGGAGCUCAUGACGGUACUGUAAGAAUAAGCACCGGCUAACUCUGUGCCAGCCGCCGCGGUAA